CCUACGGGGGGCAGCAGUGGGGAAUAUUGGACAAUGGGCGAAAGCCUGAUCCAGCAAUGCCGCGUGAGUGAUGAAGGCCCUAGGGUUGUAAAGCUCUUUUACCAGGGAAGAUAAUGACAGUACCUGGAGAAGAAGCUCCGGCUAACUCCGUGCCAGCAGCCGCGGUAAUACGGAGGGGGCUAGCGUUGCUCGGAAUUACUGGGCGUAAAGCGCACGUAGGCGGUUUUUCAAGUCAGGGGUGAAAGCCCGGAGCUCAACUACGGAAUUGCCCUUGAAACUGGAUGACUAGAAUCUUGGAGAGGUCAGUGGAAUUCCGAGUGUAGAGGUGAAAUUCGUAGAUAUUCGGAAGAACACCAGUGGCGAAGGCGACUGACUGGACAAGUAUUGACGCUGAGGUGCGAAAGCGUGGGGAGCAAACAGGAUUAGAUACCCUAGUAGUC
RNAcentral lists this ribosomal RNA (440 nucleotides) under uncultured bacterium. RNAcentral describes it as "partial 16S ribosomal RNA". It matches the Rfam family "Bacterial small subunit ribosomal RNA", at positions 338 to 795 of the family's 1533-position model. The record is from RNAcentral.